Molecule: ribosomal RNA, 484 nt
Filed under: uncultured bacterium
Lineage: Bacteria
Description: partial 16S ribosomal RNA
Rfam family: Bacterial small subunit ribosomal RNA
Source: RNAcentral
AUUGAACGCUGGCGGCAGGCCUAACACAUGCAAGUCGAGCGGAUGAAGGGAGCUUGCUCCUGGAUUCAGCGGCGGACGGGUGAGUAAUGCCUAGGAAUCUGCCUGGUAGUGGGGGAUAACGUCCGGAAACGGGCGCUAAUACCGCAUACGUCCUGAGGGAGAAAGUGGGGGAUCUUCGGACCUCACGCUAUCAGAUGAGCCUAGGUCGGAUUAGCUAGUUGGUGGGGUAAAGGCCUACCAAGCCGACGAUCCGUAACUGGUCUGAGAGGAUGAUCAGUCACAUUGGAACUGAGACACGGUCCAGACUCCUACGGGAGGCAGCAGUGGGGAAUAUUGGACAAUGGGCGAAAGCCUGAUACAGCCAGGCCGAGUGUGUGAAGAAGGUCUUCGGAUUGUAAAGCACUUUAAGUUGGGAGGAAGGGCAGUAAGUUAAUACCUUGCUGUUUUGACGGUACCAACAGAAUAAGCACCGGCUAACUUCGUG